This is a long non-coding RNA of Oxyura jamaicensis (ruddy duck), 2500 nucleotides long. RefSeq lists it as uncharacterized. Lineage: Eukaryota; Metazoa; Chordata; Aves; Anseriformes; Anatidae. The transcript is spliced from 2 exons. The record is from RefSeq and is a predicted model, not a curated record.
CCAUUUUUAUGGCAUUGUUCAAUUUCCCUUCCUUUUCUAACGUUCAGUUUUAACGCUUCUAAUCAGUAUUUCCCCCUCAUCCUAUUUUUAUUCUUUAUCGUCCUAGAAACAAAAUGUCAAGAGUGAAAAAUAAAUGGAAACAUUUAAUAUAUGUUAAUAUAUAAUUUAACAAUAUAUAAAAGCCAUACAAGAGGACUGAAUUACUGAAGUUAUUAUGGGGAAGUUUCAAGGGCUCUCUUGCAAGCCCCAUUAACAAUUUAUAGCAUGUACAUUAACAAUCUACACAUGUUCCUGGGUGUGCAAGAGGGUAGGAGCCCCCCAGCAACAUGGGAGGAGCAUCCAGCUCCACUGCUGUUUUUCCCGAGACUCAGAGAUGUUUUGGGAGGUACAAAAUAUGCUUGCAUUUGAGAUAGUAACACAACUAGAGGCAGAAAAUAUAAAUAAGGCACCUUUAACGACUGCUGCAUGAGCAAAUCAGACACUUAAGUACAGCAAUUAGAUUUCUGUCAAUAGUUCCUUCUCCUGAUGCAAGAGUUGUCCUGUAAGCUGCACCCAAAAGCAAGCAAAUUUGGCUUUAAAUCUUUACUUCUGAAAAUUAAUCACAAAAUGGGUUAUUUUAGGUGCAUCAAAUCUUGAUUCCUUAUGGGCAUGAAUAAUUUGCACUCAUGGAAACCAUAGGAGCCUACUUUUCUUCAGCUUUCAAGUAAUUAAAAGUGAAACUAUUCAGAUAGUUGCAUGCAAUGGAUUUGCUGUUCCCUCACUUACAUUGCUAUGCCCAGUUAUACAUUACCCAUCCAAGGAUUAUAUAUUUCAUAUACAUAAUUGCUUUUGAUCCUGUGGUGGAAAUAAAUUUCAUAAGACAGCCAAACUUCUCUUAACCACGUAUACAUCUGCUGUCUCCCCAAAGCUUGCUGACAGUUAAUUCGCUUCACAUAUCCCAUGGCUGCGCAAGGGGUAGUAUUCCCAGUGCCCUUGCAAGGUUACAGACUGCUUCCACCCCACACGACUAAAUCAAAGCAUUCCAAAAAACCAAAGGGACAGUCAAGUCUCUGGAAUUUCAAAGCAAACAUUUCUGCAUGUCUGGUGCUUCAACUUCUGCCAAGUAAUUUCUCCUGGUAAUCACGUGUCUGCUUUAGCACACCCGCCUUGCUCCUGACAUCCAUUUCACUGGCAAAGCAGGGGCCUCGCUUCUGGUCUGACCCAUGCCUGGUGAAGGCUGCUAAGGUCAACAGAGCUACACAGGUAGCAGAGAAGAAAGAGAUCCAGAUCUGUCUUUGGGUACAUGGCUAUUGUAUUGUAGUAAAAGAGUUUGGCCUGUUCAGGAGUGUACCUGCCACAUGAAGGUGUGCUGCUGCCAAUGAGGGGCCUGGUGGGCCUGCAGGCAGCCCAUGCCAGAAAACACACAUAUCCUAACAGAGGAUAAAUAUAAAAUAUAUCAAAUACAGAUUUUCACUCAGCAAAACGCCCUGCCCAAAAAACGCUAGAGCUCUAGGCGAGUGAUAAUCAUGCACAUUAAUAUAAUCAACAUAAUCAGCAUUUAAUUUACCAACAGCAAAGCCUCACAAAGUGUUGCCCUGUCCAUAGGCUGAUCUAGCAUGGGAUCGUGCUGCACUCUGAGCCUCCAGCUUGCACCAACCCACUGACUCACAGCCAUGCUGGCUGAAGCAGAAGAUCAGACUGGAAGCUUCAAGGGUUAAGCAGAAAGGAUAAGCAGAAAGGCUUGCCAAACCGUGCCUAAAGGUGGGUGUGGUGGUCAGUCUCAGUCUCAGAUGCUUCUGACUCAAUCACACACUCUCCCAGGCCAUCUCUGGGAUGCUACCUGUGAUGAGCAUGGGAUGGAGAUGCAUUAUCACGCAGUUCUCCUUCCAGGCAUGAUAAUAGUCCCUGUGGAUCUGCCAGUACCUAUAGGAAGCCAACAAGAACUGGUAGCUCCUGAUGAAGCUGCCAUGGGUGGGAUUUCCAAAGCAAUGGCUCUCUGGAACCUCCCCUAUGUUCCCAUCCACCACUCCCCUGGCUCAGCCGGGAUUAAGAGCAGUCUUUCAUUCUCUGCUGGUACUGCCCCAAACAGAGCCUUCAAGUUCAGAGCCACUUUUUCAUAAGAGAUAUACAUCUAAAAAAGACUCCUUAAGAAUCAAUGUAAAUUUUUAUUUUGUUUUGUUUUGUUUAAAUAUGGAGUCUGCACACAACAACAGAGAGAAUUGCCAGAAAAGAAGAAAUGAAGGAAAGGAAGUAGGUCCAAGCCUGACACCAGGGACCUGGACUCCACUCACCACAAAACCUAAGGACAGGCUUCUUUAAUUGGAUCAUCUCCCAGUUUCUUGGGGAACCCUUUGUUGGAGUGAUUCCUGGGGAUAUAGCCCCUGUCCAUGAAAUUGAGAACUGCUAAAUUUAAUACAGGACUGGCUAAGGAUAUGAUUCUUUGUUUGUAGUAGAAAUCCUGUUUUACUGGCAGCUACAUUUAAGGAAACUUGUAACAAAUACAUUUACUUGUAUAUCCAUA